CCCCCUCGCCGAAAGACCAAGGUUUCCUGAUCAACGCUAAACGGAUCAGGGUCAGUCGGGACCUAAGCAAAAGCCGAAAGGCGUAUGCGAUGGAUGAACUGGUUAAUAUUCCAGUACUAAUUAUAUGAGUGAUGUGGAGACGGAGAAGUGACAAUGCUGCCAACUGACGGAAUAGUUGGUUAAAGGGUGUAGGAUAUGAUUGGCGUAGGCAAAUCCGCGCUGAGAUCUGAACCUGAUAGUACGAAGCGUGCUUGCACAAUUCGAUAUGCAUGUAAUCAGGCUCCCAAGAAAAACCGCUAAACAUAUUGUAUUAUUACCCGUACCGUAAACCGACACAGGUGGUUGGGUUGAGUAUACUAAGGCGCUCGAGUGAUUCGCGGUUAAGGAACUAGGCAAAAUAGUCCUGUAACUUCGGGAUAAAGGACGCCUCUAUAGAGAUAUAGAGGCCGCAGUGAAAAGGCCCUGGCGACUGUUUAACAAAAACACAUGGCUAUGCAAAAUAGAAAUAUCACGUAUAUAGCCUGACACCUGCCCGGUGCUGGAAGGUUAAGAGGAGAGGUCAUCAGCGAUGAGAAGCUUUGAAUUGAAGCCCCAGUAAACGGCGGCCGUAACUAUAACGGUCCUAAGGUAGCGAAAUUCCUUGUCGGGCAAGUUCCGACCUGCACGAAUGGUGUAACGAUCUGGGCACUGUCUCAACCGCGAGCUCGGUGAAAUUGUAGUAUCGGUGAAGAUGCCGAUUACCCGCAACGGGACGAAAAGACCCCGUGAACCUUUACUAUAGCUUUACAUUGUAGCCGGGUAUUAGAUGUGUAGGAUAGGCCGGAGACUGAGAAUUGGUGACGCCAGUCAUCAAGGAGUCGCUGUUGAAAUACGGCCCUUUUACUAUUUGGCUACUAACGCGCGAGGUGCGGACAGUGUAUGGUGGGUAGUUUGACUGGGGUGGUCGCCUCCAAAAGCGUAACGGAGGCUUCUAAAGGUACCCUCAGGCCGAUUGGUAACCGGUCGCAGAGUGUAAUGGCAUAAGGGUGCUUGACUGGGAGACAAACAAGUCGCACAGGUAGGAAACUAGAGCAUAGUGAUCCGGUGGUUCCGUAUGGAAGGGCCAUCGCUCAAAGGAUAAAAGGUACUCCGGGGAUAACAGGCUGAUCGCUCCCAAGAGCUCAUAUCGACGGAGCGGUUUGGCACCUCGAUGUCGGCUCGUCACAUCCUGGGGCUGGAGAAGGUCCCAAGGG
This 1232-nucleotide ribosomal RNA is filed under the name Porphyromonas circumdentaria. RNAcentral's name for it is "bacterial LSU rRNA". It matches the Rfam family "Bacterial large subunit ribosomal RNA", at positions 1329 to 2571 of the family's 2925-position model. The record is from RNAcentral. Lineage: Bacteria; Pseudomonadati; Bacteroidota; Bacteroidia; Bacteroidales; Porphyromonadaceae.